UUUUCACCGGGCCUAACAUGGGAGGAAAAUCCACAUUUAUACGCCAUGUUGAAGAAGAUAGAAUAUGGAGGUGGCAAGAUGGUCGGGUUGAAAACAGAAUGUCCAGGUCGGUUGAAGAAAUCUUUAACGAUUUGUGAUUUUUUCUCAUUCAUGUAUUUCAAUUAUUUAGUGUACUCUAAUAUUUGCAUUAGUAGUUUAACAUUUAUAUAAUUAAAAUAUUUGU
Molecule: long non-coding RNA, 223 nt
Filed under: Helianthus annuus (common sunflower)
Lineage: Eukaryota; Viridiplantae; Streptophyta; Magnoliopsida; Asterales; Asteraceae
Description: hypothetical non coding rna
Source: RNAcentral